UACAGGGGUCCCAAGCGUUGUUCGGAUUCACUGGGCGUAAAGGGUGCGUAGGCGGUCGGGUAAGUCUGAUGUGAAAUCUCACAGCUUAACUGUGAAACUGCAUUGGAUACUAUCCGGCUUGAGGAAUGGAGGGGAGACUGGAAUACUUGGUGUAGCAGUGAAAUGCGUAGAUAUCAAGUGGAACACCAGUGGCGAAGGCGAGUCUCUGGACAUUUCCUGACGCUGAGGCACGAAAGCCAGGGGAGCAAACAGG
RNAcentral lists this ribosomal RNA (253 nucleotides) under uncultured bacterium. Its description in RNAcentral is "partial 16S ribosomal RNA". It matches the Rfam family "Bacterial small subunit ribosomal RNA", at positions 524 to 776 of the family's 1533-position model. The record is from RNAcentral.